GAUGAACGCUGGCGGCGUGCCUAACACAUGCAAGUCGAGCGAACCCUUCGGGGUGAGCGGCGGACGGGUGAGUAACGCGUGGGUAACCUGCCCUGUACACACGGAUAACAUACCGAAAGGUAUGCUAAUACGAGAUAAUAUAUUUUAAUCGCAUGGUUAAGAUAUCAAAGCUCCGGCGGUACAGGAUGGACCCGCGUCUGAUUAGCUAGUUGGUGAGGUAAUGGCUCACCAAGGCGACGAUCAGUAGCCGACCUGAGAGGGUGAUCGGCCACACUGGAACUGAGACACGGUCCAGACUCCUACGGGAGGCAGCAGUGGGGAAUAUUGCACAAUGGGCGAAAGCCUGAUGCAGCAACGCCGCGUGAGCGAUGAAGGCCUUCGGGUCGUAAGCUCUGUCCUCAAGGAAGAUAAUGACGGUACUUGAGGAGGAAGCCCCGGCUAACUAC
RNAcentral lists this ribosomal RNA (446 nucleotides) under uncultured bacterium. RNAcentral describes it as "bacterial SSU rRNA". It matches the Rfam family "Bacterial small subunit ribosomal RNA", at positions 28 to 504 of the family's 1533-position model. The record is from RNAcentral.